This 370-nucleotide ribosomal RNA is filed under the name uncultured organism. RNAcentral describes it as "partial 16S ribosomal RNA". It matches the Rfam family "Bacterial small subunit ribosomal RNA", at positions 527 to 896 of the family's 1533-position model. The record is from RNAcentral.
GUAGGUGGCAAGCGUUGUCCGGAAUUAUUGGGCGUAAAGCGCGCGCAGGCGGUCCUUUAAGUCUGAUGUGAAAGCCCACGGCUCAACCGUGGAGGGUCAUUGGAAACUGGGGGACUUGAGUGCAGAAGAGAAGAGUGGAAUUCCACGUGUAGCGGUGAAAUGCGUAGAGAUGUGGAGGAACACCAGUGGCGAAGGCGACUCUUUGGUCUGUAACUGACGCUGAGGCGCGAAAGCGUGGGGAGCAAACAGGAUUAGAUACCCUGGUAGUCCACGCCGUAAACGAUGAGUGCUAAGUGUUAGAGGGUUUCCGCCCUUUAGUGCUGCAGCAAACGCAUUAGGCACUCCGCCUGGGAGUACGGCCGCAAGGCUG